Molecule: long non-coding RNA, 12676 nt
Filed under: Vitis vinifera (wine grape)
Lineage: Eukaryota; Viridiplantae; Streptophyta; Magnoliopsida; Vitales; Vitaceae
Description: long non-coding RNA (VVIN_LNC004863)
Source: RNAcentral
UGGACAAGGAGAUUUAGUUCCCUCUCCUCUCUUUGACUUCCUCUGCACCGAAGAAUACAAGUCCGUCUCCAUUAACAGAGCUGCAUUAACCCUCUUUACCUCUCUCCACGAUCAUCUCUCUGGACUAAAAACUCAGGUCAAAAUAUGAUAGUUGUUUUUAUUUUCGUUUCCUUUUUGUUAACAAUUGUGAGACAUGAAACAGCUUGACCAUGAGAUCUCUCUCAUAGAGUCAAACUACCUGAAGAAGAAGAAGACGUUACACAUAUCCAUCUGCGUUGCAUCAUCGCAUUACCCAUUGAUCGGUUGUGAUUCAACUCUUAAUAGGAAGACAGUAGAACUGGUGUUGGUAUCUGUUUUUAGAUCAGCUUAUAUGUAUCUUGUUGCUAAAAAGGGAAUGUUUAGAAGUGAGAUUAAUGGGAUUAUUCUGACAUGGAUUUCAUAUGGUUACCUGUUUUGCAGUUGACUGUGAUUGAAGGUCAAUUAAUCAUCACUGGGCACUCCCUGGGAGGAGCCGUUGCUUCUCUCUUCACCUUAUGCCUGCUAGAUGAAAAUUUAUUAAAACCCAAAUGCCGCCCCUUUUGUAUCACCUUUGGUUCACCCCUCGUCGGCGGCUUUGGCCUCCAACACUCCAUAUGGAAUUCUUUCUUCCUGCAUGUAGUGUCUAACCAAGACCCAGUCCCCGGUCUCUUCCUCCCAUCUGGCAGAGGCAGAUCUACGCCCACAUCCUCCCAUUCACAAACUACCGGUUACAAGCCCUUUGGGACAUAUCUCUUGUGCUCUGAACUUGGUUGUGCUUGUUUUGACAACCCUGAUUUAAUUUUGGAAUUGCUGAAAGUCAUAUCAUCAGAGGUUGCCGGAGGAUUGCAGGAUGUUGAUUAUGGGGAGAUUUUAAGAAACCUCAAGGAGAGGGCAAUCUGCAAGGGACUUCCGCAGGUGGGUGAAAGGUUUGCAAAUCCAUUUUCAGCUGGGAUCAUCAUGGAACUUGAGACAAUUGGAUUUAAUCAAACAAAGGUAAACAGCUUUCUCCCAUCUAAUGAUGUUAUGGAACAUGGUUUACACCUCAUUAAAUACUGCAACAACUGCCCUAUUUAGAUUUACCUUCUUGUUCUUUGGGAUUUUCCAUAACUAGACUCAUUUUUUAAUUUCAUGGCAGCUGCUGCAGCAUAACAUUGAUAUCGAGACUGUGAUAAGCGCAAUGGAAGCGGAAGCAAGAAACCUAACCCAGAAAAAUAAAGCUUCCGAUGCCAAGAAACUGAAUGAAAUAAAAAUAGACAUGACCCGGCUAGAAUUGUAUAAGAAGAAUUCGAACAUGGGUUACUACGAUUGCUUCAAAAACCAGGGGUCUAAAAGGGACAUCCACGUUGAACAGUUUAGGGUAAACCUCACAGGGUACUGGGAAGGCAUGGUUGCACAAAUACAGAGGAAGCCUCAUAAGGAAGGAGCAACAUUUCGAACCCGUUGGCUCUAUGCAGGGACGGUUUAUAGAAGAAUGGUUGAACCACUGGACAUUGCUGCCUUCUACAGAGAGGGUAGAAAAGACUACAUGAAUAAAAGAUCUGCACAUUACAAGCUGUUGCAGGAAUGGUAUGAGGAAGAUGUGAAACCCCCCUCUAGAGAUAAGCUUGAUUCCAAGAAGCAAAAGGUGUCCAGUAUCCUAACUGAGGAUUCUUGCUUUUGGGCACAUGUGGAGGAGGCUAUCUUGUCAUGCGAAUUGCUCAAGAGUGAAAACUGUAAUCUUGAGGAGGGAAAAUCAUCAUGGGAUAAUCUGGUUAAGUUCGAGGAGUAUGUAAUGGAACAGAUUGACAACUAUGCAGUGUCCCCUGAGAUUUUCUUGGAGAAAAGCAGCUUCAUGAAAUGGAGGGGACUGUAUGAGGGCUACAUAGAUACUCGCAGUAAUUCCCAUAGCUCGCCAUUGAUCAGCUUUAUGAAGAAUCGUAGUUAUAGACAAUAUGGAUAGAGGGGUAAUCCAGUUUGUGUGUUGUGUGUAUUGUUUUGUGAGCAUUCAAUGGAUAGAACUAGAAAGAGUGUGACCUUUUCCUUUUUUUUUUCAGUUGCUGCCCAUAUUCUCAGCACUAUUUUCUUCCUUCUUUUCCUCAGUUUUUUUGUUAAGAAAUGAAUAUUAUGAUGUUGCCGGGAUGCACUUUCAUUUUUGUUCCAUUACAUUGUGUUUUAUUCAUAUCCUAAACAAAUAAAUGUAAACAAGAAAAUCAAAUGAGACUUCAAAGAGUCUGUUCCUUUUAAAGCAAGGGAAAAAAAGGACAUGUUUGUUUACUUCCACAGCUGGGUAGAUUCAACUCCACCAAAAUUGGCAACAACUUCCCAUUGAAAAAUUCCUUUUAAGCUUGAAUGACAUAAAACUAGAUAUGUUCCAGCUAGAAUGGUACAAGAAAGAAAUCAAAAGAUGAGCACAAUGGGUUAUUAUGACAGCUUUAGAAACCUGGGGUGUAAAAGAGACAUUAAAAUGGAACCGAGGGGAAGACAUUGUAGAACAAGUAAAGAGGAAGCCUCACCAGGAAGGGCAGCUUUGCAAACCCUCUGGCUCUGUACAGGAACGAAUUAUAGAAAGAUGGUUGAACCACUUGACAUUGCUGCCUACCACAGAGAGGGUGGAAGAAACUACAUAACCAAUGGAGGAUGUAAACAUUACACGCUAUUAGAGCAAUGAUGCAAUGAAGAGAAGGGGACUUUGUCUUCCAAUAAUUUAAGAAAAUAAAACCAAAUAAUGCCAGAAUUUGGGUUGAGAAACACCCAAAAGAUAGUGGCCCAAUAUGAAGUAGUCACAAAACUAGUAACAGCCUUGUGGCCAUAGUUGGUGUAGUAUGAGCAAGUGGGGUAUGAAGUAGGUAGGUGAGUAUUGCAAUGAAAUUUCCAGCACUGCUUCCUGAAUUAAGAAAUCACAUACUCAAGUCUUAAUCGUUGUCAUCAUACCGUGUGAGAACCGAGGAAGAAUCUUUGCUCUUAGACUGGAUUUUGUAGUCUUUCUUUAACAAUUACAAGUUAUCUGAAUUCCCUUCAUCCUCCUAUAUAAUAUUGUUUUUGGUCUUGUUCUUGUUGCAUUGUGGCUAGGCAUCUCCAUGGGAGGAAGGAGGAUGAAUCAAGUUCCUUUGUAUGAAUCAAUUUCUCUGCUCUUUUUUUUUUCAAUCCUUGAAUCGAAUCAUUGCUUAGUUCUUGCUUUAAUUUCUCCAUUUUCUGUUGGGUCUUUGAUUGCAGGUUUAGCUCUGCAAGAAAACUGGGAAAUUUAAUUGUGACCUCCAAUCUAAUCGACUCUGCUUUGACUAAAAUUCUUGAGCUUCAAAGAGACCAAACAGCCUUGCCUUCCCCCGUUCAAUACAGAGUUUUUUAUCCAUCUCCCAACUGCACAAUUGUAGCUUUUGUCUCUUCACCUGACUGCACUCAAAACCCUCUUCCUGGACAAGGAGAUUUAGUUCCCUCUCCUCUCUUUGACUUCCUCUGCACCGAAGAAUACAAGUCCGUCUCCAUUAACAGAGCUGCAUUAACCCUCUUUACCUCUCUCCACGAUCAUCUCUCUGGACUAAAAACUCAGGUCAAAAUAUGAUAGUUGUUUUUAUUUUCGUUUCCUUUUUGUUAACAAUUGGGAGACAUGAAACAGCUUGACCAUGAGAUCUCUCUCAUAGAGUCAAACUACCUGAAGAAGAAGAAGACGUUACACAUAUCCAUCUGCGCUGCAUCAUCGCAUUACCCAUUGAUCGGUUGUGAUUCAACUCUUAAUAGGAAGACAGUAGAACUGGUGUUGGUAUCUGUUUUUAGAUCAGCUUAUAUGUAUCUUGUUGCUAAAAAGGGAAUGUUUAGAAGUGAGAUUAAUGGGAUUAUUCUGACAUGGAUUUCAUAUGGUUACCUGUUUUGCAGUUGACUGUGAUUGAAGGUCGAUUAAUCAUUACUGGGUACUCGAUGGGAGGAUCCGUUGCUUCUCUCUUCACCUUAUGCCUGUUAGAAGUCAUCAAUUUAUCAAAACCCAAAUGCCGCCCCAUUUGUAUCACCUUUGGUUCACCCCUCAUAGGCGACUUUGGCCUCCAACACUCCAAUUGGAAUUCUUUCUUCUUGCAUGUAGUGUCCAACCAAGAUCUAGUCCCCGGACUCUUCCUCCCAUCCGACAGAUCUCCUCCCACAUCCUCCCAUUCACAAACUACUGGUUACAAGCCCUUUGGGACAUAUCUCUUGUGCUCUGAACUUGGUUGUGCUUGUUUUGACAACUCUGAUUUAAUUUUGGAAUUGCUGAAAGUCAUAUCAUCAGAGGUUGCCAGAGGAUUGCGGGAUGUUGAUUACAGGAAGAUUUUAAGAAACCUCAAGGAGAGGGCAAUCUGCAAGGGACUUCCGCAGGUGGGUGAAAGGUUUGCAAAUCCAUUUUCAGCUGGGAUCAUCAUGGAACUUGAGACGAUUGGAUUUAAUGAAACAAAGGUAAACAGCUUUCUCCCAUCUACUGAUGUUAUGGAACAUGGUUUACACAUCAUUAAAUACUGCAACAACUGCCCUAUUUAGAUUUAGGGCAAUGAUGAAAAUAUCAGUAAUCACGGAUAUAUCAGUAUUUCGAUUUUACGGAUAUAUCGGAUAUAUCGGAGAUAUAUCGGUAGAUAUUUUGAAAAAAAAUAUCGGCAAGCUUAAAAUUGUUAAAAACUCAUGAAAAUAUAAGAAAAUCUCAUAAUAAUAUAAUUAAAAGUAUAAUAGACAUUUUAAAGUUAUUUUAUUGAAAAUUUUGAUAUAUGUAUAACAUGAUUUAUCAUAUUUGAUAAUAAUAUCGUAUGCGUCGAUAAAAAUAUGAAUUUUAUAAGUGUACAUUUAUUAUUAAAUUACACCUAAUAUUAUGAUAUCUGAUUAUAAUAUGUCUAAUUUUAAAAUAUAUAUUAGUAUUAAAAUAUGAUCCAUUUAAUUCAAUUGUAUUAAACAAUAUAAAAUAAAUAAUGAUAUAUAUAUAUAUAUAUAUAAUUUUUUAAUAUUUAAUUAAUUAUUAAUGAUAUUAAAAACAUUAUGAAGAAAAUUAUAUAAUUUUUUAAUUUUUGGUAAUUAAUUAAAAGACUUUGCAUUUAAUUAUAAAUUAAUUAUAAUUAAUUUACUCUUUAAAAUAUUCUUAUAUUUUCUUUAUAUAAUGAAUUUAAGUAUAUAUAUAGUUGUUGCAUAUUAUAUAUUAAAGGACAACUUAGCCCAAGUGGUAAGCGAGUGAACCCCAAUGUGAGGCAUUGUAGCACGUGCACUGUAGCAUCACUGUAGCGACUCUGACUUUCGUUGACCCGCAUUGACUACACGAUAUAUCGGAGAAAAAUCACUGAUUUAUCGCCAAAUCACCAAUAAAUCGCCGAUUUCUCGCGAUAAAUACCAAAAUAUAGUGUCGAAACCCUUCGAUACACGAUUUUUCGGCGCAUUUUCUUACUUGGAUUUACCUUUUUGUUCUUUGGGAUCUUCCAUGACUCAUUUUUUAAUGCCAUUUUAUUUUCCUUUUUGUUUCUAAAUUUUUAAAAAAUCGUUUUCACUUCUUUUUUUUAAGAAAAUUUUGGCAAAUUUUGAAAAUAUAAUAUUAGUGUUUUCACUUCUUUCUUUUUUUUUUUUUUCUUUUUUUUUUUAAACUCAAUUUUCUAAAAAAUGAAAAUAGAAAAACAUUGUCUAAACAUGUUUGUAAACUUAAUUUUAUUUUUUUAUAAAUGAAAAAAAAAAUCUAAAUGAGUAAGGCUUUAUUAAUUUUAAUUUUUUUCUUUUCCUUAUAUUUUCUUAUUUUAUUCCAAAUUUUCUUGCAACCAAACAUAAUCUAAAUGUUUACAACUUUUAUUGUAAGGAAUGAAUGACACUACUUUGUGAACUUUUAUGAUAAUAUUUUGAAUCAUAAAUUGUGUUUUUUUUAGUAAUAUCAAUUUUAUUACCAAUGACUUAAUUGUUAAUAACAAAAUAUAAUAUUUAUAAAUAUUUUUAUUCUCAACAGGCUACAAUUUUUACUCUUGUGAUAAAAAAAAUUUUGUCAUAAAUUACACAUUAUGAUGAGUUUUUCUAUUUUCCUUAUCAGCCAAUUCAACAAAUAUCAUAUAUAUUGUAAUGGCUAACAAAUUUUCACAUAAAUUUUUUAUAAGAUAAAGUAGAAUGGAAUUAUUCAAUUUCAAAAAAAAAAAAAAUGGUACCUAAUGAAAAAGAUAAAAUAUAUAGAUCAUCUCGAAGAAAUCAGGAAAGAUAAAUGAUGAGACCAUAUAUAGGACCCUUGAUGGAGACUAUUUUAAUUGAAGUGGUGUGCUCCUUCCGACUCAGAACAUGUUCAGCAUUGCACACAAACUAACAUCGUCGAUCUUGAGUAUGAAAAAGGUGAUUAGAUUCCAAGGUUGUCGUUUGUCCCAACUCCUCAUAUUAGAGGUGAUGCUCAAGCUAACGUGCCUCGCAGUUGAGCCCCGGCCAAUCGGUCUAAUAUGCUUUUCCAAUGGUGAGUUUCACUGCCACCAUGUAUUACAUUAAUUCCGAUAGCGCACAAGUUGUGUUUGUGCUAUUGCUUUUUGCCCUCACAAACAUAUACACAAGAGACAUUCAGACCAGAUCUGUUCUACCAUCCUCUAGGAAAGCAUUGUAGGUCAUUUGAAAUUGGGAUUUCAGCACCAGAGUCAAAUUGCCUUCCUUCCUGAAAGAUGAGCAUUUUUUAUACUCUUACAUCGGCUUUUAUGGAAAUGAAAUCAGCUUCUCAUUCUGUUACAUUUUUCAAUUUUGCUGCCUAUAACUGCUCACUGCCUGUUUGUGAGACAUUAUCCAGAUUUUCCCUGAUCAAUUAUAGAGAGGUCAUUGGACUCAUCCAUGAUUGGAAUUUCCUGUUAUCAUUAUUUGCAAAUCAUCAACCAUUUGUCAUGAUAUCUUAAGUUAAGCUGAGCACGAAUUUCAGCUAAGAUCCUCAGAACUAGAAAUAUGCACUGCAGGUAUUACUUGAUAUGUGAAUAUCCAAUACAAUAUUUUUUUACUAAGAGGAAUACGAAUUUGAAACACUUUCCAAUAAUUUAUCAAGUCAUAUUUUCGUGCUGUCGUGAUACAUGUGUCUACUGUAUGCAUGGCUUUUCUUUUCUACACAUGCCUUUAUCUUUGCACAUGACUCUUUUGAUACACGCCAGCAUCAAGGCAAUUGCCUAAAUCUAAAUCACAUCCUUUGUGUCACGUCUUCCUUGUUACCACGGUCCUCUUGUACACCAUGGUCCCUUAAUGUAACUUGUGCCACAAGCCCUUUGUGCAUGAAUUCAAAUUGUUCAAUCAUUUCGCCAUUUACACCUUUUAAGGUCCAAUAAGCGUAUACAAGAGACUACACUCAUUCUAGAUGAUAAAGUACAUUCAACUAACUACUCUUGCUAAUGAGCAUAUCCAAGUCAAUACAUAAGAUUAAUUAUUACAUAUGGUAAUUGAAACCCUGUUUAAAUAAAUAGUGACACAAAUAUAAAAAAUAUAUAUAUUUAAAAAUAAAUAAAUAACAAUUUAGAGAAUUUCAUAACUUAGUAUCAAACCUAUUGUAGGAAAGAGUAUUAUACAAUGUAGGGUUUAGGAUCAAAGUUAACCUAAGAUCAAUUUUAAGUUUUAAGACCAAUUCAAAUUCAAAACUAAGGUUUUAAGUUUCAAAAAUAUAUCUCUUAAACCAAUUAAAUAGAAAAAAGAAAAUUACAAAGAAAAUUUCUUCCUCAUCGGUUUCUUUUAUCUUGAAAACUAAAGGAAAUAUAUAUCAAUAUUUGAGAUGGAAAUUCAUAAUCUUAGAAACACAAAGAACAAAGAGAGUAUGAAGAGACCAUACCAUGAGAGAUUUUCCAAAAGGUUGGUAAACCAUGGUAAUCACCUUUGAGUUUUGCUGAGAAAAACAAACCUUAAUUUUUAUUUUUAUUUUUUUAUCAUUUUUUCUCUUGUGGUGUACAUUUAAGAAAAACAAAUCUUAAAAAAAAAAAAAAAAAAACCAAAUAAUGCCAGAAUUUGGGUUGAGAAACACCCAAAAGAUAGUGGCCCAAUACAUGUGCCUAAGAAAAUCUUCAUGAGCCGAUAAACAUAGUCACAAAACUAGUAACAGCCUUGUAGCCAUAGUUGGUGUAGUAUGAGCAAGUGGGGUAUGAAGUAGGUAGGUGAGUAUUGCAAUGAAAUUUCCAGCACUGCUUCCUGAAUUAAGAAAUCACAUACCCAAGUCUUAGUCGUCGUCGUCGUACCGUGUGAGAACCGGGAAGAAUCUUUGCUCGUAGAGUGGCUUUUGUAGUCUUUCUUUAACAAUUACAAGUUAUCUGAAUUCCCUUCAUCCUCCUAUAUAAUAUUGUUUUUGGUCUUGUUCUUGUUGCAUUGUGGCUAGGCAUCUCCAUGGAAGGAAGGAGGAUGAAUCAAGUUCCUUUGUAUGAAUCAAUUUCUCUGCUCUUUUUCUUUUCAAUCCGUGAAUCGAAUCAUUGCUUAGUUCUUGCUUUAAUUUCUCCAUUUUCUGUUGGGUCUUUGACUGCAGGUUUAGCUCUGCAAGAGAACUGGGAAAUUUAAUGGUGACCUCCAAUCUAAUCGACUCUGCUUUGACUAAAAUUCUUGAGCUUCAAAGAGACCAAACAGCCUUGCUUUCCUCCGUUCAAUACAGAGUUUUUUAUCCAUCUCCCAAGUGCACAAUUGUAGCUUUUGUCUCUUCACCUGACUGCACUCAAAACCCUCUUCCUGGACAAGGAGAUUUAGUUCCGUCUCCUCUCUUUGACUUCCUCUGCACCGAAGAAUACAAGUCCGUCUCCAUUAACAGAGCUGCAUUAACCCUCUUUACCUCUUUCCACGAUCAUCUCUCUGGACUAAAAACUCAGGUCAAAAUAUGAUAGUUGUUUUUAUUUUCGUUUCCUUUUUGUUAACAAUUGUGAGACAUGAAACAGCUUGACCAUGAGAUCUCUCUCAUAGAGUCAAACUACCUGAAGAAGAAGAAGACGUUACACAUAUCCAUCUGCGUUGCAUCAUCGCAUUACCCAUUGAUCGGUUGUGAUUCAACUCUUAAUAGGAAGACAGUAGAACUGGUGUUGGUAUCUGUUUUUAGAUCAGCUUAUAUGUAUCUUGUUUCUAAAAAAGGUAAGUUUAGAAGUGAGAUUAAUGGGAUUAUUCUGACAUGGAUUCCAUAUGGUUACCUGUUUUGCAGUUGACUCAGAUUGAAGGUCAAUUAAUCAUCACUGGGCACUCCCUGGGAGGAUCCGUUGCUUCUCUCUUCACCUUAUGCCUGCUAGAUGGAAAUUUAUUAAAACCCAACUGCCGCCCCUUUUGUAUCACCUUUGGUUCACCCCUCAUCGGCGGCUUUGGCCUCCAACACUCCAUAUGGAAUUCUUUCUUCCUGCAUGUAGUGUCUAACCAAGACCCAGUCCCCGGUCUCUUCCUCCCAUCUGGCAGAGGCAGAUCUACGCCCACAUCCUCCCAUUCACAAACUACCGGUUACAAGCCCUUUGGGACAUAUCUCUUGUGCUCUGAACUUGGUUGUGCUUGUUUGGAAAAGCCUGAUUUAAUUUUGGGAUUGCUGAAAGUCAGAUCAUCCGAGGUUGCCGGAGGAUUGCAGGAUGUUGAUUAUGGGGAGAUUUUAAGAAACCUCAAGGAGAGGGCAAUCUGCAAGGGACUUCAGCAGGUGGGUGAAAGGUUUGCAGAUCCUUUUACAGCUGGGAUCAUCAUGGACCUUGAGAUAAUUGGAUUUGAUCAAACAAAGGUAAACAGCUAGCUUUCUCCCAUCUAAUGAUGUUAUGAAACAUGGUUUACACUUCACCAAAUACUGCAACAACUGCCCUAUUUAGAUUUGCCGUCUUGUUCUUUGGGAUCUUCCAUAACUAGACUCAUUUUUUAAUUUCAUGGCAGCUGCUGCAGCAUAACAUUGAUAUCGAGACUGUGAUAAGCACAAUGGAAGAGGAAGCCAGAAACCCAACCAAAAAAAAUAAAGCUUUCGAUGCCAAGAUUCUGAAUCACAAAAAAAAAGACAUGGCCGGGCUAGAAUGGUAUAAGAAGAAAUCAAAAGAUCUGAACAAGGGUUACUACGACUGCUUCAAAAACCAGGGGUCAAAAAGGGACAUUAAAAUUGAACAGUAUGGGGGACACCUCACAUUAUACUGGAAAGACAUGGUUGCACAAGUACAGAGGAAGCCCCAGAAGGAAGGAGCAACAUUUCGAACCCGUUGGCUCUAUGCAGGGACGGUUUAUAGAAGAAUGGUUGAACCACUGGACAUUGCUGCCUUCUACGUAGAGGGUGGAACAGACUACAUGAAGAAUGAAAGAUCUCUUCAUUACAAGCUGUUGCAGCAAUGGUAUGAGGAAGAUGUGAAACCCCCCUCUAAGGAUAAGCUUGAUUCCAAGAAGCAAAAGGUGUCUGGUAUCCUAACUGAGGAUUCUUGCUUUUGGGCACAUGUGGAGGAGGCUAUCUUGUCAUGCGAAUUGCUUAAGAGUGAAAACUGUACUCUUGAGCAGGAAAAAUCAUCAUGGGAUAAUCUGGUUAAGUUCGAGGAGUAUGUAAUGGAACAGAUUAACAACUAUGCAGUGUCCCCUGAGAUUUUCUUGGGGGAAAGCAGCUUCAUGAAAUGGUGGGGACUGUAUGAGGGCUACAUAUAUGCUCGCAGUAAUUCCCAUAGGUCACCAUUGAUCAGCUUUAUGAAGAACGGUAGUUAUACAGAGUAUCGUUAGAGGGGUAAUCCAGUUUGUGUGUUGUGUGUAUUGUUUUGUGAGCAUUCAAUGGAUAGAACUAGAAAGAGUGUGACCUUUUUCCUUUUUUUCUUCUAGUUGCUGCCCAUAUUCUCAGCACUAUUUUCUUCCUUCUUUUCCUCAGUUUUUUCUUAAGAAAUGAAUAUUAUGAUGUUGCUGGGAUGCACUUUCAUUUUUGUUCCAUUACAUUGUGUUUUAUUCAUAUCCUAAACAAAUAAAUGUAAACAAGAAAAUCAAAUAAGACUUCAAAGAGUCUGUUCCUUUUAAAGCAAGGGAAAAAAAGGACAUGUUUGUUUACUUCCACAGCUGGGUAGAUUCAACUCCACCAAAAUUGGCAACAACUUCCCAUUGAAAAAUUCCUUCUAAGCUUGAAUGACAUAAAACUAGAUAUGUUCCAGCUAGAAUGGUACAAAAAAGAAAUCAAAAGAUGAGCACAAUGGGUUAUUAUGACAGCUUUAGAAACCAUCUUACAACACAUCCAUCAGAAUUUAGACUAUUCAUAGAAACAUUCUUAACAUGUAAAUCUACUAUUGCCAUGCACGUCAACAUAGAAUUUCUAAAAUGAUUGAAUAAAAUAAAUAAAACAAAAGAAACCCUUCCAAGAGAAUUUCAUAAUCUAAUGUCAAAUCUAUUACGAAGAUGAACAUGUAAAAUUUAAGGUUUAUAAUCAAAGUCGACUUGAAUCUGAGUUUUAAAACCAAUUUGCAGUUUUUAAGUUUGGAGACUAGAUCUCUUAAACCAAUUAAAUGUAAAAAACUAAAAAGAAAACUUCUUCAAAUUUUGAAAUGAGAAUGAGAAUGCAAUUCCUAACUAGUUUCUUCAUCAAAAAUCCCGAAAAAAAAAAAAAAAGAAGAGAGAGAGAGACCAUAGACGCCAGUGUUUGGGUUUAGAACCACCCAAGAGAGAGUAGUCCAAUAUAUGGGCUUAAGAAAAUCCUCAUGGGCCUAAGCUAAGACUAGGAACAAUCUUGUAUCCGUGGUUGGUUUAGUAUGAGCAUGUGUACUGCGAAGGAAGUAGCUGAGAAUUGCAAUGGAAUUUCCAGUACUGCUUCCUGAACGAACAAAUCGCAUACCCAAGAUUUGGUCGUCAACGCCAUGCUGGGUGAGAACCGGGGAAGCAUCUUCGCUCGUUGACGAGCUUUUGUAGUCCUUCUUUAACAAUUAUAAGGCAUCUGAAUUCCCUUCAUCCUCCCACACCAUUGUUUUUGGUCUUGUUCUUGUUGCUUUGUGACUACGCAUCUCCAUGGAAGGAAGGAGGAUGAACCAAGUUCCUUUGUAUGCAUCAAUUUUACUGUUUUUUUUUUCCUUUUUAAUCUUUGGAUCGAAUCAUUGCUUAGUUCUUGCUUAAUUUCUCCAUUUUAUGUUGGGUCUUUGAUUGCAGGUUUAGCUCUGCGCGAGAACUGGGAAAUUUAAUUGUGACCUCCAAUCUAAUCGACUCUGCUUUGACUAAAAUUCUUGAGCUUCAAAGAGACCAAACAGCCUUGCCUUCCCCCGUUCAAUACAGAGUUUUUUAUCCAUCUCCCAAGUGCACAAUUGUAGCUUUUGUCUCUUCACCUGACUGCACUCAAAACCCUCUUCCUGGACAAGGAGAUUUAGUUCCCUCUCCUCUCUUUGACUUCCUCUGCACCGAAGAAUACCCUUCCGUCUCCAUUAACGGAGCCGCAUUAACCCUCUUUACCUCUCUCUACGAUCAUCUCUCUGGACUAAUAGAUGAGGUCAAAAUCUGAUACUUGUUUUAAUUUACGUUAACUUUUCGUUAACAAUUGUGAGACACGUAUAUAUAUAUAUAUAUAUAUAUAUCUUGUGGAUAAAAGGAAAGUUUACAAGUGAGAAUAGUGGCAUUUUUCUGACAGAUUUCACACCGUUGCUUGUUUUGCACUUGACUGUGAUUGAAGGUCGAUUAAUCAUCACUGGGCACUCGAUGGGAGGAUCCGUUGCUUCUCUCUUCACCUUAUGCCUGCUAGAAGUCAUUAAUAUAUCAAAACCCAAAUGCCGCCCCAUUUGCAUCACAUUUGGUUCACCCCUCAUAGGCGACUUUGGCUUCCAACACUCCAAUUGGA